GAUGAACGCUGGCGGCGUGCCUAAUACAUGCAAGUCGAGCGAACAGACGAGUAGCUUGCUCCUCUGACGUUAGCGGCGGACGGGUGAGUAACACUUGGAUAACCUACCUAUAAGACUGUGAUAACUUCGGGAAACCGGAGCUAAUACCGGAUAAUAUAUUGAACCGCAUGGUUCAAUAGUGAAAUACGGUUUUGCUGUCACUUAUAGCUGGAUCCGCGCCGCAUUAGCUAGUUGGUAAGGUAACGGCUUACCAAGGCGACGAUGCGUAGCCGACCUGAGAGGGUGAUCGGCCACACUGGAACUGAGAAAGGGUACAGACUCCUACGGGAGGCAGCAGUAGGGAAUCUUCCGCAAUGGGCGAAAGCCUGACGGAGCAAAGCCGCGUGAGGGAUGAAGGUCUUCGGAUCGUAAAACGCUGUUAUUAGGGAAGAACAAAUGUGUAAGUAACUAUGCACGUCUUGACGGUACCUAAUCAGAAAGCCACGGCUAACUACGUG
This 497-nucleotide ribosomal RNA is filed under the name uncultured bacterium. Its description in RNAcentral is "partial 16S ribosomal RNA". It matches the Rfam family "Bacterial small subunit ribosomal RNA", at positions 28 to 507 of the family's 1533-position model. The record is from RNAcentral.